AUGGUUACAAUAAAAACGGUUCAAAACAAAAAUCUGUUCUUAUCAGUUUAAUAUCUGAUAUGUUCCCUUCCUGGGGACUGCAUAUUAAAUGGAUUUUUGGAUCAUGGAGCUGGAGCCGGGGCUUGCUCCAUCCACUCCACGCAUCGGCCUGGUAUUGCAGUGUUUCCAGAAACGGUGUGCUUCCC
This 185-nucleotide small nuclear RNA is filed under the name Sinocyclocheilus grahami. RNAcentral describes it as "U2 spliceosomal RNA (ENSSGRG00000017972.1)". It matches the Rfam family "U2 spliceosomal RNA". From Rfam's summary of the family: U2 is a small nuclear RNA (snRNA) component of the spliceosome (involved in pre-mRNA splicing). Complementary binding between U2 snRNA (in an area lying towards the 5' end but 3' to hairpin I) and the branchpoint sequence (BPS) of the intron results the bulging out of an unpaired adenosine, on the BPS, which initiates a nucleophilic attack at the intronic 5' splice site, thus starting the first of two transesterification reactions that mediate splicing. The record is from Rfam by way of RNAcentral. Lineage: Eukaryota; Metazoa; Chordata; Actinopteri; Cypriniformes; Cyprinidae.